Molecule: ribosomal RNA, 253 nt
Filed under: uncultured bacterium
Lineage: Bacteria
Description: partial 16S ribosomal RNA
Rfam family: Bacterial small subunit ribosomal RNA
Source: RNAcentral
UACAGAGGUCCCAAGCGUUGUUCGGAAUUACUGGGCGUAAAGGGCGCGUAGGCGGCCGAUCAAGUCAGGCGUGAAAUUCCCGGGCUCAACCUGGGGGCUGCGCUUGAUACUGUUUGGCUUGAAUGCGGGAGAGGAUAGUGGAAUUCCCAGUGUAGAGGUGAAAUUCGUAGAUAUUGGGAAGAACACCGGUGGCGAAGGCGGCUAUCUGGCCCGUAAUUGACGCUGAGGCGCGAAAGCGUGGGGAGCAAACAGG